Molecule: ribosomal RNA, 254 nt
Filed under: uncultured bacterium
Lineage: Bacteria
Description: partial 16S ribosomal RNA
Rfam family: Bacterial small subunit ribosomal RNA
Source: RNAcentral
UACGUAGGGUGCGAGCGUUAAUCGGAAUUACUGGGCGUAAAGCGUGCGCAGGCGGUUAUUCAAGACAGAUGUGAAAUCCCCGGGCUCAACCUGGGAACUGCAUUUGUGACUGGAUGACUAGAGUACGGCAGAGGGGGAUGGAAUUCCGCGUGUAGCAGUGAAAUGCGUAGAUAUGCGGAGGAACACCGAGUGGCGAAGGCAAUCCCCUGGGCCUGUACUGACGCUCAUGCACGAAAGCGUGGGGAGCAAACAGG